This 772-nucleotide ribosomal RNA is filed under the name uncultured Neocallimastigales. Its description in RNAcentral is "partial large subunit ribosomal RNA". The stretch from base 4 to 662 matches the Rfam family "Eukaryotic large subunit ribosomal RNA", at positions 24 to 664 of the family's 3401-position model. Lineage: Eukaryota; Fungi; Neocallimastigomycota; Neocallimastigomycetes; Neocallimastigales. The record is from RNAcentral.
UCAGACGAUGCGUCAUGCAUAUCAAUAAGCGGAGGAAAAGAAACUAACAAGGAUUCCCUCAGUAACGGCGAGUGAAGCGGGAAGAGCUCAAAUUUGAAAUCUUAAAGGGUUUCCCUUUACGAAUUGUAGUUUAAAGAAGUGUUUUCUGUUGAAGGUUUUGGUAAAAGUUCUUUGGAAUAGGACAUCAUAGAGGGUGAGAAUCCCGUAUUUGACCUUUACUUUCAACUUUGUGAUACACUUUCAAAGAGUCGGAUUGUUUGGGAAUGCAGUCCAAAAUGGGUGGUAAAUUUCAUCUAAAGCUAAAUAUUGGCGAGAGACCGAUAGCGAACAAGUACCGUGAGGGAAAGAUGAAAAGAACUUUGAAAAGAGAGUUAAAUAGUACGUGAAAUUGUCAAAAGGGAAGCGUUUAACACCAGUGUUGCUUUCUGAAAAUCAACCUCUGUUAGCUUUAUGCAUGUUUGUUUAGACCUAAUCAGCUAUCUUGCAUGUUCUAUUGUUUGCAGUGGUGCACUUUUCAGUUUACAGGUCAACAUCAGUUUUUUUUACCGUAAAAAAGUUAAAGAAAGGUAGCUCAUGGCUCCGGUCGUGAGUGUUAUAGUCUUUUUCCUAUGCGGUAGGAGAGACUGAGGUCUGCAGUGUAGGCUAUUUGGCUAGAUACUCAGGUGCUAUGUGAUACCAUUUCAUAAACAACUUGUUGAUUAUGUUUUGUCUAUUGCAUACUCGCUUGUACUAUCAUACCUACGCUUAGGAUGUUGACUGAUAUGUAGUCGUA